CCUUAGACAGACAUCACUCUUUAGAAUCCCUGCAACUUUGAGCAAGUUCGUGAAUCUCACUAAGGCUCAGUUUCCUCCAUAAAAUUAAUCAAUAUCAGGGCCUCUGCAUUGGACAACUCCAGAGGGCACCAUUGGGGUUAUACCUUGUGUUUGCCUAACCUUCAUUGCAGUGGGCAGGUGCAUGCUUUCUACAAUGUCCUAAGGUCUAAAGGGGUAGAGUUCUGUGUGUGGCAUUUUAGGCCUGGAAAGGAUGAGAGUCUACAAAACCAGAGAAAUACUGCAGCAAAUGGUCAAACCCAGGAGGGAAUGGUAUGAACCUCUGGUUUACAGCCAUUGGUAAGAAGCACACAUGACAACCUGGACUUUCCAUCAACAUUUGAAGCGGGAGCAGUCUUGUGGGAUCAAGCUCUUAACCUGUGGGGUCUGCUACUAACUCUGAAUCCAAUGAACACAUGGACCCAACACUCCUUUGGCCAAGUUGAUGAUUCUCCACCAUUUAUUUGCCUGCCUCACUAUACACUUCUAGCAAGCCACUGCAAGGCUGCAUUGCAGCUAAGAGGAAGCCCUCCUUGAAGGCUGCACAGCAAGGAGUGUUGGCAGAGUAGCUGGGUUUCCACUGGGAGAGCACGAGUCAGCAUCAUGCUGGGCUCAAGCAUGGAUAUGCACUGCUGCUGCCAGAGCAUCAUAAUUUGCAAGCAUUUAUCGAGUACCCUUCAUCUAAUUUUCAUCCUGCGGAAACUAGAAAUUGCUACACUUGCACACAAUAAACUUCUGGCAGUUAGCCUUCUAAACUGGGACACUACCAUUUGGGAGGGAAAAGACCUUUCUGGUGGUUAAAGAUGGGGCUUCCAGUUACUGCAUUUGUUUUAAUACAGUCUAUUCCAUAGAGCCAUCGAUGGAGACUCAUUAUAUAACCUUUCGUGGAAAGCUUCUGACUUCUUUCUCAAUGCACAGGUGGGAUGUAAAGGGACAUCCCCAUCAUAAGGCACUUGCCCCAGGCUAGGAACUUAAUUCUCCCACUGUCGACAUGUGGCUCUUUAGAUUUCAUGCUGUAAGUCUCCAGAGGUUUCUCAGGUCUUGCCCUGCAGAAGCAGAAGUCAUGGGAAGGAGCUGUCGCGUAGUUCUUUUUUUUUGGAGCUUGGGUGCUGAAGAUCAGUUCCUCCAACUUUUUGGUUUUUUAAUGUUUCACUCCAACUGCAAAUUUCACCCCAUUUCUAGUGUACUCUCCUUGAGAGAAGUGGAGUUUCAGAUGGGAGCAACUUCACUUGAAGCCCAUAUUAAAUAUGGGAAACACAUUUUCUGCAUCAUAAGAUGGGGACAUUUUUAUGAUACCAGUACUCUUAGGAAGUGGACUGUUCAGAAAAAUGAUUUGGAUUGAAGAGGGCACACAUAUAGGUGGAAGAGUUGGUUGUGAAACAAGGGGAAGAAUUAACUGGUUUCUCCACUGAAGGAGGGAGGAAAAAAAUAAAAGGAAAGAAUAUGGGUAUAUCCAGCAAGACAGACAAAUGUAUGCUCUCCAAGCACUCUCUCUCUCACCUAUCCCAGUUCUUUCAUGUUACAAAAUUCACAAAAUGGCUGUGUGUACAUGAAUUUUGGUGGAAACAGUGAAGAAACUGAGCUUCAUGCUGACAUUGACACAGAGUAGGACAGCUCUAAGUGCUUCACGUGACUUUUGAGUUAUAGCUGACUGCCCUAGCUCACAUUUUAGUGCCAGAAGAUCCCAGACCACCACCCAUGAUCCCAGGCUGGAGGAAGCAGCAGGCUAGCGGAAUUCAGGACCAAUGAGCCAGGAAAGAGGACCCAAUGCAGAGCUCACAUCCCACCCUCCUUCCCCCAUGACAAAGCACUGGCAAACCCUGCCAAAGAAGAAGCUUGGCUGCAAAGCAGUCUGGAACUGGACCCGGGAUAGAUUCACCAGGAGCUCACCACCACAGGGAAUGCUGCACUUUGACUGGACAGAAUGCAUCCUCCAUGCCCACAGAGCAUGUGCCCAGGAUGAAUCUCACUGUAUCCCAGUUCCUCAUGCUUGGCCCCAAACCUCUUUUUCACAGUAAUAAAGAAAACACACUUUACAAAAAGGCAGUUCAUCUAUGAACAUAUUGGCUAGGAUAACACAUCUUAGAGCUAAAUGUGUCACUGUAAAUGGACUCAUUUUAUAUCUCCACAUACUGUAGAUGUUUAAAAAAAGGUACAUGCACAGAAACUAUGGGAACUGAACUGGAGUAUGAGCCAAUUACCCUAGACUUUGCUGUAAUCUGACUUUUGUGUAGCACAUUUUCUUUAGCAUUUUUCUUAAUGGGGGAUGGGGAGUGGAGGCAAAGGAGACAAACUGACAGCAG
Molecule: long non-coding RNA, 2339 nt
Filed under: Homo sapiens (human)
Lineage: Eukaryota; Metazoa; Chordata; Mammalia; Primates; Hominidae
Description: HSALNT0386032
Source: RNAcentral